UACGUAGGGGGCAAGCGUUAUCCGGAUUCACUGGGUGUAAAGGGAGCGUAGACGGCCAUGCAAGCCUGGAGUGAAAGCCCGGGGCCCAACCCCGGGACUGCUCUGGGAACUGUGCGGCUGGAGUGCGGGAGGGGCAGGCGGAAUUCCUGGUGUAGCGGUGAAAUGCGUGGAUAUCAGGAGGAACACCGGCGGCGAAGGCGGCCUGCUGGACCGCGACUGACGUUGAGGCUCGAAAGCGUGGGGAGCAAGCAGG
RNAcentral lists this ribosomal RNA (253 nucleotides) under uncultured bacterium. RNAcentral's name for it is "partial 16S ribosomal RNA". It matches the Rfam family "Bacterial small subunit ribosomal RNA", at positions 524 to 776 of the family's 1533-position model. The record is from RNAcentral.